RNAcentral lists this long non-coding RNA (638 nucleotides) under Suricata suricatta (meerkat). RNAcentral's name for it is "lncRNA (ENSSSUG00005022675.1)". The record is from RNAcentral. Lineage: Eukaryota; Metazoa; Chordata; Mammalia; Carnivora; Herpestidae.
UUAAUAAAGUCACCCCUGCAGCUCUGUGUCAAUAAUCUCUCCUAAUUCCUUCCCUUAUAGCAACUCCCACUGGACAAACGGCUGCUUGUGGAACAGACUGCCCUCUUCAUAAAGCUCAGCCCCAGUGGAUUUUACAUAUUUCAGCCACAUUGGCUGACCCAGAGGUGCCAUCCACCCAUCCGGAAACAAGGAAAACCAGGACAACAUGGCUUCUGUCCUCGCAUCUGGCUCUAGCAGAGACAGCAAAGCUCUCAGAUGAAAAUUUUAGAGCUUUGCUUUCCACUGAACCAUGAUGCCUUCCCAAGACGCUGAACUAUCUGGAGGGAAACAUGUGGGGUGAGUCCGGGGGAGGUGAAGACAGCGUGGAAGCACAGAGCUCCUCUCCUUCAAAGCCAACGUUCCAAGCCUGUGCCGAAGGAAGUUCCAUUCUUUCCCACAUGUCUCUGCCUGGCUAAAUAUAAAUCCAUCUUGGUUUAUAUUAUGCUGCCUCUAAUUGAAUCACAUUCUUCAUUUGUUUAAUUCAGAAACAAUAAGCCAUCCUGAGCCCUCCCUGGGAAGCCUGCCAUGGCCUCAGCAGGCCCAGUUCCCAGGCACAUCAGGCAGGGCCUUGGCACCGGCCCCUUGCCCAGGAGCAUUUG